CUCUACUAUUACUGCUACUGUCACUGCACUACCGUCUACCGUACCGCAUUUUUGCUGAUACUUCACCGUUUGUUGUUCUUUUUUUUGUUUUCUCGUGAACUGGACCGUUUUUGCCUUUGAAUUCGCUUAUUCGACCGUUUCGGAUUGUACGGACAAUCUUCGAUACCUGUCGACCGACCAGCCUGCCGCACCUGGACUUGUACCGCUAAAAUAGGCGAAGAAAGAAACAUCAUUUCUACUAUUAUGAAGAGGGAAGUGAAACUCAUCGGACAUCUGAUAAGACACAACACUUUUGUGUCAAACAUCUUGGAGGGGAAGAUUAUGGGAAAACGAUCAAGAGGAAGAUCCAGACCAUAUCAUACUUAAACGACAUAAAUCAACGAAUGGCGUUUCUUGUUGGCGUUUUUUCUAAUAUAAACAUUAUUUCUCAAUCAUACAGUAAGUGUUCUAAAAUCAUUAAUUUACAAAUUUUCAUUAUUUCAUAAUAUUGUUUUUUUAUAUGUAAUAAC
This is a long non-coding RNA of Adelges cooleyi (spruce gall adelgid), 509 nucleotides long. RefSeq lists it as uncharacterized. The transcript has 3 exons. Lineage: Eukaryota; Metazoa; Arthropoda; Insecta; Hemiptera; Adelgidae. The record is from RefSeq and is a predicted model, not a curated record.